GGGAAAGGGAGAGAGAGUCUCAGGAAGUUGUGGGCAUGGGUUGUUUGGUGAGAGGCAUCGCUCUCUAUUCUCAUGCGCGCAUGGAGGGAGGUGGGUGAGGUUUCUUGCCAAUACCACCCAUGCCAGCAAUUUCCUGCUUUUCCUCCCUUUCCC
RNAcentral lists this microRNA precursor (153 nucleotides) under Eugenia uniflora (Surinam cherry). RNAcentral describes it as "miR482a stem-loop (eun-MIR482a)". Its record names the gene eun-MIR482a. The record is from miRBase by way of RNAcentral. Lineage: Eukaryota; Viridiplantae; Streptophyta; Magnoliopsida; Myrtales; Myrtaceae.